CGAGGGUUGUGCACGCUUGUUGUUCUUCAUUUCUCCAUCUCAUUUGUGCACCUCUUGUGUGGAUCAAUGUCCUUUGCGGACGAAUGGGGGGUUUGCUUUGCAAAAUACUUGCGGGCUUUCCUUGUGAUCUAUAUUUUUACAUAUACUCCAGUCACAUAGAAUGAUAUAUAUAUAUAUGGAAAUUGUUAUACAACUUUCAGCAACGGAUCUCUUGGCUCUCGCAUCGAUGAAGAACGCAGCGAAAUGCGAUAAGUAAUGUGAAUUGCAGAAUUCAGUGAAUCAUCGAAUCUUUGAACGCAUCUUGCGCUCCUUGGUAUUCCAAGGAGCAUGCCUGUUUGAGUGUCAUUUAUAUAUCUCAAUCCUGCAUCCGUGAAAAAAAGGGUGUCGGGCUUGGACUUGGGGGUUACAGGCUCUGCUAUUGCAGUCUGCUCUCUUGAAAUACAUGGAGGCCCCUCCCCUGUUUUAAAGGUGUGAUAUAUCUAUCUGCAUCUAAAAUCUUGGGGGGUGUUUGCCGCUGAGGGGGAUGGCUUGUUGAUAAACUUGACCUCAAAUCAGGUAGGACCACCCGCUGAACUUAAGCAUAUCAAUAAGCGGAGGAAAAGAAACUAACGAGGAUUCCCGU
This 622-nucleotide ribosomal RNA is filed under the name uncultured fungus. Its description in RNAcentral is "eukaryotic LSU rRNA". The stretch from base 192 to 345 matches the Rfam family "5.8S ribosomal RNA". The record is from RNAcentral. Lineage: Eukaryota; Fungi.